GGAGAUCCCUCCUCUGGAGUUUUGCAGUGAGCCCAGGAUGUGGGAGUCUUCCUUGGAAUUAUUUGGUAUUCUUGCGAAGGAAAUAAGUCUUACAGACUUCUAGCAUGGAAGAAAUUUUCUUUAUUCUAAACAACAGGACAAAAUCUAGAGGAAUGAGAAGUAAUAUGAAGUGUGGAGACAGAAGACAGUUUGAAGAAGAAUAUUAAAACAGGCAGUUUUUGUUAAAGAUCAAUAAUUAUUCAUUUUAUAUAUAGCUUCAGGACUACCAUAGAUAUAAACUAUGACAUGUAUCAAGGCCAACAUUUAAUGCAAUAUUAAAAAUGCAUUUUUAUAUUGUGGUCUCCUCUUUAAACUGUGAGAUCCAAAAAGACGAUCAACUCACCUCCAGUUCUACUGCACAGUACAAUGAAAAUGAGACAGCAAGCAAUGCCCAGUUUCCAUAUACCAUGAUGUAGUUAAAAUUAGAAAUUUCAUGAUGCAGUUCCCACAGACAACUCAGAAAAGUGCGCAGACAAAAGACAGAUAUAAUCAGCUAUUUGUAUUUUUUUUUCUUUUCUGCUGGUACUUUUAUUUCAUUUAAAGAAAGAAAAUCAGUAUACAUGAAAUGAUGAAGGAUAUAUGUCUGACAAAUUCUAGUACAUAGGCAAAUCUUCUGCACACAGUGAGAAUAUAACAUCUGGGUUGUAUUCAAUUUACAGAUGGAAAAGAAUCUCAGUGGAAAACUUGCUGUAGCAUAGUUCUACUGGUUAUGUAUGAUCUGUUGUUUGGUCACUAGUGACAAUCUAGUGACAGAAUUAACCAACUGACUAUACACUUCAUGGUAUCCAAUAGACAAACAUCAUCAGGUUGGCUUGUAUUACAACCCAGUAUUAUACAAAUUACGUUCCUUUUUUUUUGUUGUGUGUGUGUGUUACAUAGCCAGUUUGCAAUAUGUUUUGCAUUAAAUUAUAUAUUACUAUACAACCAGGAGAUUCAGAUUUUUGAAACAUCCUACAGAUAAAUUUCCCAUGUUCUACUAAGCAUCAGAAUCAUGGCCAGGACCAAUAAAUUUGGCUACCUACAUAAAAAUAUCGGUAAAUGGAGAUAAAUAUAUACAAGUUCAGAAGUUUGAUUAUGAUUUAACCUAUCAGGCAACUAAGCACCCCUCAGUUGUUCACUCGCAUAUGGAAAAUGAGGAGAUCAAAAAUAAUUAGCUAUCUAGAAUCUAGAGCAUGGAGAAUAUGGAUGCUUUGUUCAUGCUGUUUGUGAGAACAACAGAAUUGUAGGCUACUCUAAAAGACAUACUUUAAAACUACUAUCUCAAGCUGAAAAGCUGCUUUGGUUUUACAUCCCUAGGGAGUUUUAAACAAUGGUUCUUCACCAUUCUAUCAGCAGAUACACUAAAUGCUCACUGAAAAUAUACUACUGCUCCUUUGUUGAUAUAAUACUUGUUCAUUUUAUAAACUACAAACCAAAGUACUCUCAACAAAAACAAACCUUCUAUGGGAUAAUUCUGACUCCAGAAUAGGGCAUAUAAUAUUUCUCUAUGAGUCCCUUUACAUUCAAAGUAAUCUAGUCAAUACAGUUGAACUAUUGCACUAAUUAGCCAGAAUUAUUUUGCUAGUCACUUGAGAGAGCAAGAUUCAAUUGCUAAAUUGCCUAAAACUUAGCACUGGCUGGUGAAACCUGGAGUAUGUAAGAAACACCUGGGGCACAGUUCUUAUGGAUUGUCAGUUGGUGAUAGGACAGCCUAGGACAUUUUAGAUGUCAUCAAAUACCAGAAAGUCAAUGACAGAUUCAGGAAUUGUAGGAUGAACUAAAUUGUUUCCCAAGUUCCAUUAAGUGUUCUGAAGAGAUGUACGUUGAUUAUAAUGGCAUUUGGAUGUCUAUUUCACACAGAGAUUUCAUUCAGAUGGAAAAAUGUGGAUGCUUUAAUAUUCUUGAGUUUUAUCCAAAUAGAAUACAAUUCAGCUGUCUAAAAGCACACAUGCAGCACCAUUUCAUUAUUCUGUCUAACUUCCAGUUACCACUUCAGAAGAUAAUUUCUCUGAUAGGACCUGUGCCACAUCUGUCAUUGUCUCAUGGUUCUCAAACAGCUUUAAAUAUUUAAAAGGAUGCUAGAUAUUUAGGAACAAGAUGCUCACACAUCCCUUCAUCUUUAACCUCUUAUAUAAGAGAAGAGAAAGCAAAUUCAAGGAAAACACUCAUAUGUUAGUCUAGAACAAAUUCUGGUGAUAAAUACAUACAUAAGAAAAGUAAAAUAUUAUCAAAUGGUAAAUGUUUGAGCAACGUUUGGUUUGAAUCAUGGAAUCAAAAUGGUUUGGAUUUUAAAGAAACAUGAAGAUCACCUAGUUCCAACUCCCCUGCCAUGAGCAGGGACACCUUCCACUAGACCAUGUUGCUCAAUAUCUCACUCAUCCUGACCUUGAACACUUCCAGAGGUGAGGCAUCUAUAGCUUCUCUGUGCAACUUGUUUCGGUGUCUCACCACCGUCAUAGGAAAGAAUUUCUUCCUAACAUCUAGAGAUACUAAUAGUUCCAGAAAGUUCUUGUUUGAAGGAUUUGUAAUGUGCCUGAUGUUUCUUGCUCUCACGUGAUAGGAAAUGUUAUGCUGUGAUAUGAAUAUUUAAUUAGUUUAUGUAAUUUUUUCAGUUCUACAUAAUAAGUAAAUCUGAUAUUAAUACUUCCCUCUUUUGAACCUUUGUAAGUGUUGCUAGUAACAAUCACUUUAUAAAUUUGAUAGUAAGUUAAGAAAAAAUGGGUACAUAAUUUUUUUGAGAAUUUUGUGUUUAAUAUUUUUACAAACUGUUAUGAUUACAAUGAAUAGUGACUUAUUGCACUAGUACAAGACAGUGUUAUAAGCUCUUAAAAGUACAAUCACUAUUGUCAGGAGAUAAAUUAUGCAUGCUCAGUGAUACUCUACAUCUGUUGAUUUGCCAAAUAGCUAAUUAAAAUGCUU
This is a non-coding RNA of Meleagris gallopavo (turkey), 2937 nucleotides long. The record is from RefSeq and is a predicted model, not a curated record. Lineage: Eukaryota; Metazoa; Chordata; Aves; Galliformes; Phasianidae.